This 76-nucleotide transfer RNA is filed under the name Clostridiales bacterium S5-A14a. Its description in RNAcentral is "tRNA-Arg". It matches the Rfam family "tRNA". From Rfam's summary of the family: Transfer RNA (tRNA) molecules are approximately 80 nucleotides in length. The record is from RNAcentral. RNAcentral also lists the same sequence under 5 other names. Lineage: Bacteria; Bacillati; Bacillota; Clostridia; Peptostreptococcales; Anaerovoracaceae.
GCCUCCGUAGCUCAGGGGAUAGAGCGUCGGUUUCCUAAACCGUGCGUCGGGUGUUCGAAUCGCCUCGGGGGCACCA